GGGAACAUACCCUUUUCUACGGAAUAGCUCUGGGAAACUGGAAUUAAUACCGUAUACGCCCUACGGGGGAAAGAUUUAUCGGGGAAGGAUUGGCCCGCGUUGGAUUAGCUAGUUGGUGGGGUAAAGGCCUACCAAGGCGACGAUCCAUAGCUGGUCUGAGAGGAUGAUCAGCCACAUUGGGACUGAGACACGGCCCAAACUCCUACGGGAGGCAGCAGUGGGGAAUAUUGGACAAUGGGCGCAAGCCUGAUCCAGCCAUGCCGCGUGAGUGAUGAAGGCCUUAGGGUUGUAAAGCUCUUUUGUCCGGGACGAUAAUGACGGUACCGGAAGAAUAAGCCCCGGCUAACUUCGUGCCAGCAGCCGCGGUAAUACGAAGGGGGCUAGCGUUGCUCGGAAUCACUGGGCGUAAAGGGCGCGUAGGCGGCCAUUCAAGUCGGGGGUGAAAGCCUGUGGCUCAACCACAGAAUUGCCUUCGAUACUGUUUGGCUUGAGUAUGGCAGAGGUCAGUGGAACUGCGAGU
This 520-nucleotide ribosomal RNA is filed under the name uncultured bacterium. Its description in RNAcentral is "bacterial SSU rRNA". It matches the Rfam family "Bacterial small subunit ribosomal RNA", at positions 120 to 674 of the family's 1533-position model. The record is from RNAcentral.